RNAcentral lists this long non-coding RNA (797 nucleotides) under Homo sapiens (human). Its description in RNAcentral is "non-protein coding lnc-THAP4-4:5". Lineage: Eukaryota; Metazoa; Chordata; Mammalia; Primates; Hominidae. The record is from RNAcentral.
ACAGCUCAAAGAGAAGCACAAGCAGAGCGGCGGGAGCGUGGGUGCGCUGGAGGAGCUGGAGAACGCCUUCAGCCUGGCCGAGGAGUCCUGCCCCGGCAUCUCAGACAAGCUGAUGGUGCACCUGGUGGAGCGAGUGCAGAGGUUUUCACACAACAGAAACCACCUGACAUCCACCCGCUGAAGCGCACUGCUGUUCAGAUAGGGGACGGAAGGUCGUUUGUUUUUGUUCUGAGCUCCAUAAGAACUGUGCUGACUUGGAAGGUGCCCUGUGCUAUGUCGUGCCUGCAGGGACACGUCGGAUCCCGUGGGCCUCACAUGCCAGGUCACCAGGUCACCGUCUCCUUCCACCCCUGCAGUGUGCUGUUGUGCACGUCAGGGACGCUGUUCUCUAUGCCCACUGCCCUCCUCCCUCUCCUGGCCCAGCAGUAUUGCUCACGGGGGCUCCAGCCGCCGGCGUGGCCCUCAUGAGCUACGCCUGGGUCUUCUGCAGACUCAUGCAGCCCUAUGGCCGCUCAGACCAAGGCGCAGAGCAACUAUCAGGGCAGCUCUGCCUCCUCCUCCCAUGAGGUGGGGAGAGGCAACAGGGCAGCCCCCAGAGGAGUGUCCUGGCCGCUGUCCUCCCGGGGCCCAUGAUGGCCAUAGAUUUGCCUUGUGGUGUUGGAUCAGGUACUGUGUCUGCUCAUAAGUACUUGUGUCAUCCAGAAUGUUUUGUUUUUUAAGAAAAUUGAAUUACUUGUUUCCUGAAAUAUUCUGAGGUUAAUAUGUUAGUUUUCAUAGAACAUUGAGAGGCCCCUGCC